UGGACAUUCAGGAUAGUGGAUCUAGUAGAGAUGCCCUACAAACAUUCAUGCUUUCCCCAAAAAAAGUCAUUGCGGAAUUGUUUGUCUAGCUCUGCCACUGCCGGCGAGCACCCUCCCCCUUCCUCCUCUAACGGUCCAGCCGUCAGCCCUGCUAAUAAUAUGAAGAAAUGAACUAAUACAUGCUCCCAUAUGAUCCAUUUUUCAAAAAAAAAAAAGUACAAGAAAAACGUACGUAGCAGCACCAGAAGUUACACUCGGCAGACUAGGUCCCAGCCUCCCAGGUAACUAAGGACGUAUUAGUUCUAGGUGAUUCCCUUUUAUCCUCGGCCUUUGGCUACAACACUUGUGACACUUUCUUUUGCUGUAAUCAGUGAAUGUGAAUGCAGCGCUGACUGCUUGUUACACUUGACUGCAUUCCCUGCAACGCACUCCACCAGUUGGCAGAAACAUUUGUACAGAAGCAUUGCACCGAAGCAUUCAAUUUGACUCAUGCUCAUCUGGCCGAAGGAUGAACGAAUACUCAGAGACGGGGCUUCAUCACUACCCAGGCAGCCGAACACCACAUGUGAAAUACUUCGCCCUCGCAAGGCCUGAUGUUAUCGUGACGAUUGUGUACGUAGCUGAACCUGCAGUGACAAUAUAGCUGUAAGAAUUUUUUCUAAUCCUCGGCACCAAAGAAUUAACAAUAAGAAAAUGAAAGAAUAAAGAACAGACUGAUGGAGUACAUACGUACCGAGAGCAGUCGGCGUCCGCUACCAUUGGAGCAGUGAAGACUCUACUGUCGUCUGUUUGAUUAGGAAGAACAAUGCCAGUCCUCCCGGGC
RNAcentral lists this long non-coding RNA (823 nucleotides) under Triticum aestivum (bread wheat). RNAcentral's name for it is "long non-coding RNA (TAES_LNC016657)". Lineage: Eukaryota; Viridiplantae; Streptophyta; Magnoliopsida; Poales; Poaceae. The record is from RNAcentral.